GACGAACGCUGGCGGCGUGCUUAACACAUGCAAGUCGAACGAAGAGCGAUGGAAGCUUGCUUCUAUCAAUCUUAGUGGCGAACGGGUGAGUAACGCGUAAUCAACCUGCCCUUCAGAGGGGGACAACAGUUGGAAACGACUGCUAAUACCGCAUACGAUCUAACCUCGGCAUCGAGGAUAGAUGAAAGGUGGCCUCUACAUGUAAGCUAUCACUGAAGGAGGGUAUUGCGUCUGAUUAGCUAGUUGGAGGGGUAACGGCCCACCAAGGCGAUGAUCAGUAGCCGGUCUGAGAGGAUGAACGGCCACAUUGGGACUGAGACACGGCCCAGACUCCUACGGGAGGCAGCAGUGGGGAAUCUUCCGCAAUGGACGAAAGUCUGACGGAGCAACGCCGCGUGAGUGAUGACGGCCUUCGGGUUGUAAAGCUCUGUUAAUCGGGACGAAAGGCCUUCUUGCGAAUAGUGAGAAGGAUUGACGGUACCGGAAUAGAAAGCCACGGCUAACUACGUG
Molecule: ribosomal RNA, 510 nt
Filed under: uncultured bacterium
Lineage: Bacteria
Description: partial 16S ribosomal RNA
Rfam family: Bacterial small subunit ribosomal RNA
Source: RNAcentral